GUGUAUUCGUAGCUAAAAUGCAACUGAAAGGACUAAGGUUAUGGAAUCAUGUAACGGGUCUUUGUAAACCUCAUGUAGGCUGUCUGCCAUACAUCAACCUGGAGCAGAAUACCUAAUUUAGGUGCUGGAAGUGUUGAAAAAGCUUGUCCGUGGCAAUACGCUGUAAAAGUAAAUACAUUCAAUAAAGAAACAACAGUUGAAAUUAAAAA
This is a long non-coding RNA of Drosophila arizonae, 209 nucleotides long. The record is from RefSeq and is a predicted model, not a curated record. NCBI's taxonomy places the organism in Eukaryota, Metazoa, Arthropoda, Insecta, Diptera, Drosophilidae.